GACGAACGCUGGCGGCGUGCUUAACACAUGCAAGUCGAGCGGGUAAGGCCCUUUCGGGGGUACACGAGCGGCGAACGGGUGAGUAACACGUGGGUGACCUGCCUUUAGCUCUGGGAUAAGCCUGGGAAACCGGGUACUAAUACCGGAUAUGACUCCGCGGCGCAUGUUGUGGGGUGGAAAGCCUUGUGCGGCUGGAGAUGGGCCCGCGGCCUAUCAGGCUUGUUGGUGGGGUGAUGGCCUACCAAGGCGACGACGGGUAGCCGGCCUGAGAGGGCGACCGG
This 281-nucleotide ribosomal RNA is filed under the name uncultured bacterium. RNAcentral's name for it is "partial 16S ribosomal RNA". It matches the Rfam family "Bacterial small subunit ribosomal RNA", at positions 28 to 307 of the family's 1533-position model. The record is from RNAcentral.